GAUGGACGCUAGCGGGAGGCCUAACACAUGCAAGCCGAGCGGUAUUGUUUCUUCGGCAAUGAGAGAGCGGCGUACGGGUGCGUAACACGUGUGCAACCUGCCUUUAUCUGGGGGAUAGCCUUUCGAAAGGAAGAUUAAUACUCCAUAAUAUAUUGAACGGCAUCGUUUAAUAUUGAAAGCUCCGGCGGAUAGAGAUGGGCACGCGCAAGAUUAGCUAGUUGGUGAGGUAACGGCUCACCAAGGCGAUGAUCUUUAGGGGGCCUGAGAGGGUGAUCCCCCACACUGGUACUGAGACACGGACCAGACUCCUACGGGAGGCAGCAGUGAGGAAUAUUGGUCAAUGGGUGCAAGCCUGAACCAGCCAUCCCGCGUGAAGGACGACUGCCCUAUGGGUUGUAAACUUCUUUUGUAUAGGGAUAAACCUACCCUCGAGAGGGUAGCUGAAGGUACUAUACGAAUAAGCACCGGCUAACUCCGUG
RNAcentral lists this ribosomal RNA (479 nucleotides) under uncultured bacterium. RNAcentral's name for it is "partial 16S ribosomal RNA". It matches the Rfam family "Bacterial small subunit ribosomal RNA", at positions 28 to 507 of the family's 1533-position model. The record is from RNAcentral.